UUCUACGGCCACACCACCCGGAAAAUGCCCAAUCUCGUCUGAUCUCGGAAGCGAUCAAGGGCCGGGCCUGGUUAGUGCCUGGAUGGGAGACUGCCUGGGAAUACCAGGUGUCGUAGACU
Molecule: ribosomal RNA, 119 nt
Filed under: Xenopus laevis (African clawed frog)
Lineage: Eukaryota; Metazoa; Chordata; Amphibia; Anura; Pipidae
Source: RNAcentral